Molecule: ribosomal RNA, 468 nt
Filed under: uncultured bacterium
Lineage: Bacteria
Description: bacterial SSU rRNA
Rfam family: Bacterial small subunit ribosomal RNA
Source: RNAcentral
GGUGAACGCUAGCGGCAGGCUUAACACAUGCAAGUCGAGGGGCAGCACGGGUAGCAAUACCUGGUGGCGACCGGCGCAAGGGUGCGUAACGCGUGAGCAACAUGCCCUAUACAGGGGGAUAAUCCAGGGAAACUUGGUCUAAUAUCCCAUAGUAUUUAGAGGAGGCAUCUUCUAUAAAUUAAAGCUUCGGUGGUAUAGGAUUGGCUCGCGUGACAUUAGCUAGAUGGUGAGGUAACGGCUCACCAUGGCAAUGAUGUCUAGGGGUUCUGAGAGGAAGGCCCCCCACACUGGGACUGAGACACGGCCCAGACUCCUACGGGAGGCAGCAGUGAGGAAUAUUGGACAAUGGAUGGAAAUCUGAUCCAGCCAUGCCGCGUGCAGGAAGACAGCCCUAUGGGUUGUAAACUGCUUUUAUAUGGGAGCAAUAAGGUCUACGUGUAGACUGAUGAGAGUACCAUAUGAAUAAGC